Molecule: ribosomal RNA, 426 nt
Filed under: uncultured bacterium
Lineage: Bacteria
Description: partial 16S ribosomal RNA
Rfam family: Bacterial small subunit ribosomal RNA
Source: RNAcentral
GUGAGGAAUUUUCCGCAAUGGGCGAAAGCCUGACGGAGCAAUGCCGCGUGAAGGAUGAAGGCCUAUGGGUUGUAAACUUCUUUUCUUAGAGAAGAAUAUUGACGGUAUCUGAGGAAUAAGCAUCGGCUAACUCUGUGCCAGCAGCCGCGGUAAGACAGAGGAUGCAAGCGUUAUCCGGAAUGAUUGGGCGUAAAGCGUCUGUAGGUGGCUUCAAAAGUCUCCUGUCAAAGAUCAGGGCUUAACCCUGGGCCGGCAGGAGAGACUCUGAGGCUAGAGUUUGGUAGGGGCAGAGGGAAUUCCCGGUGGAGCGGUAAAAUGCGUAGAGAUCGGGAGGAACACCAAAGGCGAAAGCACUCUGCUGGGCCACAACUGACACUGAGAGACGAAAGCGAGGGGAGCAAAAGGGAUUAGAAACCCUGGUAGUCC